This 496-nucleotide ribosomal RNA is filed under the name uncultured bacterium. RNAcentral describes it as "partial 16S ribosomal RNA". It matches the Rfam family "Bacterial small subunit ribosomal RNA", at positions 29 to 507 of the family's 1533-position model. The record is from RNAcentral.
AUGCACGCUGGCGGCGUGCCUAAUACAUGCAAGUCGAGCGAACAGACGAGGAGCUUGCUCCUCUGACGUUAGCGGCGGACGGGUGAGUAACACGUGGAUAACCUACCUAUAAGACUGGGAUAACUUCGGGAAACCGGAGCUAAUACCGGAUAAUAUAUUGAACCGCAUGGUUCAAUAGUGAAAGACGGUUUUGCUGUCACUUAUAGAUGGAUCCGCGCCGCAUUAGCUAGUUGGUAAGGUAACGGCUUACCAAGGCGACGAUGCGUAGCCGACCUGAGAGGGUGAUCGGCCACACUGGAACUGAGACACGGUCCAGACUCCUACGGGAGGCAGCAGUAGGGAAUCUUCCGCAAUGGGCGAAAGCCUGACGGAGCAACGCCGCGUGAGUGAUGAAGGUCUUCGGAUCGUAAAACUCUGUUAUUAGGGAAGAACAAAUGUGUAAGUAACUAUGCACGUCUUGACGGUACCUAAUCAGAAAGCCACGGCUAACUACAUG